RNAcentral lists this transfer RNA (71 nucleotides) under Cordylochernes scorpioides. RNAcentral describes it as "tRNA-Gly". Lineage: Eukaryota; Metazoa; Arthropoda; Arachnida; Pseudoscorpiones; Chernetidae. The record is from RNAcentral.
UGCAUCGGCCGGGAAUCGAACCCGGGCCAUCCGCGUGGCACGCGAGCAUUCUACCACUGAACCACCGAUGG